GGGUUUAGGCCCACGGCAAACGGGUUAGUAAUGCAUAGGAACGUACCCUCGAGUCUCGAAUAAUCCUUCGAAAGGAGGAAUAAUGCGAGAUAGUUCUCUUCGGAGUAAAGAUUUAUCGCUUGAGGAGCGGCCCGUGUCCGAUCAGCUUGUUGGUGAGGUAAAGGCUCACCAAGGCUAUGACGGGUAGGGGAUGUGAGAGCAUGAUCCCCAACAUUGGAACUGAGACACUGUCCAAACACCUACGGGUGGCUGCAGUCGAGAAUCUUCGGCAAUGGGCGAAAGCCUGACCGAGCGACGCCGCGUGAAGGAUGAAGGCCUUCGGGUUGUAAACUUCUUUUGCAAGGGAAGAAACUAUGCACAAUUUGGAAAUUCAAAUUAUUUUUUGGAUGGAUUUUCGAAUUGUGCAU
RNAcentral lists this ribosomal RNA (407 nucleotides) under uncultured bacterium. RNAcentral describes it as "bacterial SSU rRNA". It matches the Rfam family "Bacterial small subunit ribosomal RNA", at positions 83 to 508 of the family's 1533-position model. The record is from RNAcentral.